Molecule: ribosomal RNA, 155 nt
Filed under: uncultured delta proteobacterium
Lineage: Bacteria; Deltaproteobacteria
Description: partial 16S ribosomal RNA
Rfam family: Bacterial small subunit ribosomal RNA
Source: RNAcentral
UGGCCGGUACAAAGGGUCGCGAACCCGCGAGGGGGAGCCAAUCCCAAAAGACCGCUCUCAGUUCGGAUUGGAGUCUGCAACUCGACUCCAUGAAGUUGGAAUCGCUAGUAAUCGCGGAUCAGCAUGCCGCGGUGAAUUACCGGUUCCCGGGCCUU